GUACAUUUAUGUCAGGUGGCAUUUUCUCAGCACUUCCUAAUGUUUUUUUCCAUCAAAUUUACAAAGUGAAAUUAUGAUUUUACCCUCCCUCCUGCUCUACACUCUAAUGGCAUAAAAUCCCGUCCAAAUAAUCUGAGAGUUUUUACGAUUCAAUUUCAAAUUCGAAGUAAUUGAUAUCCCAAAUAAUCAGGGAUUUUGUUUCCUUUUUUAAUUCGAUUUCAAAACAAUGUAAAUCUUCUCCAAAUUUGAAAUCCAUUGGCUAGGGCUUCAAGCUGCAUAUAUCUAAUGCGUACUCGUUAUGUAUUUCAUAUACAUCUCCAUCGAAACCAUCUCUCUCACCUUCUACUCUAUCAUCCCAAUAUACCCCUCCUGUUCUCACAUCUUUGUAAGUGUUCCUGCCACUAACACUCUAUUUUUCCCUAACCACUUCAUAAAUAAAUUCUAGCAAGCACCAACAACUGUAAUCCUCUUCUUGAUUACAAAAAUAAGAGCUCCAAUCUGAGGAGGACGUGGUGGAAGCGGUGGUUUCUCAGGUUGACGUGGAGAUGGAGGUGAUAGACGAGGUAGAAGGAGAUGAGGUUAUUGGUAAACUUUUGUUUCUUUCAACAAUUGUUGAAUCAGUAAGAUAUAUUUUUUUAGUGGUAACCUCUCUGACUCCUAAUUGUAUGACAAACUUGGUUGAUUUUUUUUUGUGCAUAACAAGUGUUCGAUGAAAUGUCUCACAACCAAUUCUAUUAUUUUACAUGUUUUUUGUUAGGAAUUGUUUAUGAAUAUGUGAUGCCUCCUAAGACUGAUCACGAGCAUUGGGUUUAUUCUAAUUUCAGGGUUGGAGCUAUAGACGCAAAAAAAGUGUUGCAAUGAUGGAAUUAUGUAUGAAAGAAAUGGGUAUUUUUCUCCUCCAAUUCAUUAUUUUAUAAGGGUUAAACCAAAAAAUAGCAACAUACUUUAAUCUAUUUGAUUUUCGUAAUGUAUGAGUUUGUUUAUUCGAUCUUCCUUAAGAACUAUUGCUUACCUAAAGCUUUCCAAAUAAUUAACUAGGUUUGGACCGAAUGUUACUUUUAUGUUUUACUCGUGUCAGAUAAUUUAAAAUAGCAACUUACUUUCAAUGACUUAUUACAUAAUCAAUUUUUAAUUCUAUUUAAAAUUAAUACCCGUGGGUUCCACAGGUUUUAACCUAGUAUAUUAUAUUUAUAUCCUUCCAAAGUCCAUCCUCUCUAAUAAAUAAAGACCUUAUUGUUACAUGUCACACUCUUAUUGAAUUGGUCAUAUGUCAUUUUGUGGUUAUUUUCAAUUAAUUGUUUUCCACAUGACAUUUUGUGCUUUUUUUUAUUUUAUUAAUUUUCACAUAAUUUUAAAUAUAAUAAUUGCAAUAAAUGUAAUAAUAAAUACAUAUAAAUUUCAUUAAUUGACUUCCUUCUGAUUUCAAAUUAUCUAAAUUAAAGUUUCAUUAGUUUCUUUCGUUUAUUUAUCUAAAUUAUUUGUUUAAUUUAAAAGAAAAACAAACAAUUUAAUUUUAAUAAUUCAAUAUUUUUCUAUUUUUUUCUUAUAAAUUCAAACUUCUCAAAUGUUUAGAAUUUCAUAAUUAUUUCUUUAAAAUUAACUCAUGUAAUAGAUAAGUCUUACACCUACUAGUUACAUAUAUAUCAUUCUUACCUAUUAAACUAACGUUUAUAUUCAAUCUUAUAAUGAUGUAUAUGUCAAUUUAAAUAAAAAAAUAUAGACAAAAUUGCAAAAAUGGUCAUGUGGUAUGUAUUUUUCCGAGGUUUGGUCCAAACCCCGAAUUUUUUGACUUCGUGAUCCUUUUGAUCUAGUUUGAUUGUGGUUUUGGUCCUCUAGAAAACUAAAAAGACUAAAAUGCCCUUUUGAUACAUUUUCUAUAUAUUUUUUGUAUUUAAUUUAAUGUUUUAUUAUUAAUAAACAUUGGGCCCACCUCUCUCCCUCUCUCUCACAUACACACAUAGACCUACAUAUCUUUCACUCUUCUCAUUGGUGUCUUUUUGUUUUGGGUAGCCAUGGGAGGGUGUUAAAUGUUCAAGAGCUUACGAGUAAUUUAUUAACCCAUACAACACUCAGUUAUAGGGGCAAAGCCAAACAAAAUUUUUAGAGUGUUCCUCUUAAAUUAUCAAAGUUUUGCAAGGAGUUAAUUAACAUAUCAACUUCACAUUUUUGUUUUUGAGCUGCUCCGUCUUUUGCUACAUCUAAACAAAAAAACAAAAGAAAGUAUGGGGUUCUAUUUGGUGUGUUCAUAUGCUAGUUUUGAGAGAAUGAAAAGAAAGAUGAAUAUGUAUAUUAAAAAAUCAAAGGCAAAAUGGAUGACACUUUCUCUUUAGUACUGCAAGUGCAACAAAACAGUUACAUAAACAAAGGGAAUUAAAUAAACAAAGGGGUGAGACUGUCGACAACUUCAUCUAUUUCCCACAAUCUAAAUAAUAGGAUUCUAAUUUCCGAUUUACUCACUCCACUACUACCUAAACAAACACAACAGCCAACCAAUGUGAUUACAUGAAUAAGUCUUUUUGCAGGUUAUUGAUUUGUUUCUCAAUUGCCUACAUAUACAAUAAACAUAUGCCCUAUAUUUGUUAAAAAUACAUAAUAUUAACCAUGGUUGUAAAUAUCGGCCUAGGCGGCCGAUUAAUCGGCGCCUAGGCGCUUGGCGGCCUCUAACCGCUUACGAGUAAGGGUUAGAGGGUAAAAUAAUCGGCCUUAGUCAAUAUCGGUCAAAAUCGGUCCAAAUCGGACUAAAUCGGUCCAACUCGGACUCCUAAUUGGGCCAAAUCGAUCCAGCUAACCAUGGGCUCAAAAGAACUAGUUAGCCCACCGAGCAUUUGAGUUUGAUUUUGUAAAGGAACCUAAGUCUCCUUUUAUAAGAUAUGCUUGCCUUCAAUUUUUGUCCCACCAGCGAUGUUGGAUUCCAAACUUGUAUCGUUAAUUUUUUUUUCACAACUCCAUCGAUGUGGGGUGCCGAUAGUGAAGCAUGGGAAUCCGAUUGCUUUCAUACGAAUUGAAAUCGCUCGAAACAUGAAAUCGUCGACUACUUUCUUCUCCAAGAUGUGGACUCAUCUUCUCCGACGACACAAAAAUUCCGAUUCACCUUCAAUUCAAAGUCGGAAAUCGGGACAUCUGAGAUCGAAGGAGGAAAUUGGAACUCCGAUUCACCGUCUGAGGUCUAUGUCUCGAUUAUGAAGUAACUUAUCAAUUCGUUCUUUGUCUGAGGUGUGACGUAUGUGUCUCGAUUGUCACAACCCCCUUAAAUCUGUGAUGCUGGUUAGUUAUUCAAUCCAUGAUGCAAAUUGUAAUGGAACCAGUGUUCAUGGAUAUAUCAGGUAUUGUAACGGGGUAGUGUAAAUGAAUUGAUGUUUGUAUUGUAAUUGAAUCCAUCACAACAGGUGCACACCAACUGUUUGAUAUUUUGUCUCAGUGAAAUUUGAUUCACAUUCCUUGUUUAAUUAAGUGAUUAGUGAUUAUAGGGAGGGUUAAUUGGAAGGAACAUGCAACGACUUGUUUAAUUCUCCACUUCUGCUUGUUUAAUUUUGCAAUUUGAGUUCUCCUCCAACCACUUCACCUUAUUUAAUUAACUAUUAAGUUGUUUUGUAAUUUGAGUUAUCCACCCUGUUCACUGUUAAUUUGAUUGAUAAUGUUUGGUUCAUUGUUAAUGUGUUAAUUUGUUUUUAAUGUGUUAAGGUUCUAAUUGAAGGUUAGUGUCCAAUUCCAGGUCUUUGAAACGAAUCAACCAAAGAAGCCAAGAGAAAGAACAAGAAAGAAAGCUUCUAAAACUGUUCUUGUUCCCUCAACAUUCAUAAUGCAGUAAUUAGUUAUUUAGAUGUGAUGUAUUAAGGAUCAAAGGGGUUUUUUGUAAUCAUAGUUUCAUGUUAUAAUGUUAUAUUUAUUAAUUUUUAAUUGAUAUAAUUUUAUAUUUAUUAAUGUUAUAUAUAAUGUUAUAUUCUUAGGAUUAA
Molecule: non-coding RNA, 3953 nt
Organism: Lactuca sativa (garden lettuce)
Lineage: Eukaryota; Viridiplantae; Streptophyta; Magnoliopsida; Asterales; Asteraceae
Source: RefSeq, a predicted model, not a curated record